RNAcentral lists this ribosomal RNA (467 nucleotides) under uncultured bacterium. RNAcentral's name for it is "partial 16S ribosomal RNA". It matches the Rfam family "Bacterial small subunit ribosomal RNA", at positions 28 to 506 of the family's 1533-position model. The record is from RNAcentral.
GACGAACGCUGGCGGCGUGCUUAACACAUGCAAGUCGAACGGAAAGGCCCUGCUUUUGUGGGGUGCUCGAGUGGCGAACGGGUGAGUAACACGUGAGUAACCUGCCCUUGACUUUGGGAUAACUUCAGGAAACUGGGGCUAAUACCGGAUAGGAGCUCCUGCUGCAUGGUGGGGGUUGGAAAGUUUCGGCGGUUGGGGAUGGACUCGCGGCUUAUCAGCUUGUUGGUGGGGUAGUGGCUUACCAAGGCUUUGACGGGUAGCCGGCCUGAGAGGGUGACCGGCCACAUUGGGACUGAGAUACGGCCCAGACUCCUACGGGAGGCAGCAGUGGGGAAUAUUGCACGAUGGGCGGAAGCCUGAUGCAGCAACGCCGCGUGCGGGAUGACGGCCUUCGGGUUGUAAACCGCUUUCGCCUGUGACGAAGCGUGAGUGACGGGAAUGGGUAAAGAAGCACCGGCUAACUACGU